UACUCUAGAUCAAGUUUAACGGAGCCGAUCGACGAUUCGAAAGCCGCAACAUAGAAAACGAGCUGGAAGCACGGAAGGCUCCGUGCUUCCGAUAGUAUAGUAGCCUCACUCUCUAUAUAUAUAUAUAUAUAUAUUAGGGCUACUAUACUCUUAUGAGUAUUGGGCCCUUCGUACUCGUACUUAUAAGUUAUUUUCAAUGAUGGAGCUUCCGAAUCGACAAUCCACUCCGUUAAAUAUGAUCUAGAGUGUUUGAAACUUCUAAAAUAUAAAUUUCACAAUUUUUCAAAAUCAUAAUAAAGUCCAUCAAACGGCCAUAAAAUGAACGGUCAAAAUCGAACGAUGUUCUAAAAAUGAAUGAUCGGAUCCUUCAAUUUAAGAUCGGAGUUAUUGAUCUUUAUCUAGGUAGUGAAUAGAAUUUUCUAUAAAAAAUUCAACCUCUUCCAGUUCUUUUGCACCGUUAAACUAGCAAGUAUCCCAUACCGGUCGUUAAAAUUGUCAAUUUUGUGAGCUUUUGAUCGUAAGGUAAAUGAUGUCAAAAAUUUAUGAAAUUUAAUUUCUAGAAGUUUUAAAUGCUCUUGAUAAUGUUUAACGGUAUGGAUCGUCGUUUAGGAAGCUCUAUCAUCGAAAAUGACUUAUGAGUACGAGGGCGAUCAUACUUAUAAGAGUAUAGUAGCCGAACUCUAUAUAUAUAUAUAUAUAUAUAUAUAUAUAUAUAUAUAUAUAUAUAUAUAUU
RNAcentral lists this long non-coding RNA (733 nucleotides) under Ananas comosus (pineapple). Its description in RNAcentral is "long non-coding RNA (ACOM_LNC007409)". The record is from RNAcentral. Lineage: Eukaryota; Viridiplantae; Streptophyta; Magnoliopsida; Poales; Bromeliaceae.